AGGGGUAUAGCUCAGUGGUAAAGUGUGUACUUAGAAUGCACGAGGUCCUGGGUUCAAUCCCCAGCACCUCUG
Molecule: transfer RNA, 72 nt
Filed under: Camelus bactrianus (Bactrian camel)
Lineage: Eukaryota; Metazoa; Chordata; Mammalia; Artiodactyla; Camelidae
Also listed under: 1 other name
Rfam family: tRNA
About the family: Transfer RNA (tRNA) molecules are approximately 80 nucleotides in length. Their secondary structure includes four short double-helical elements and three loops (D, anti-codon, and T loops).
Source: Rfam by way of RNAcentral